This 266-nucleotide unclassified non-coding RNA is filed under the name Hevea brasiliensis (rubber tree). The record is from RNAcentral. Lineage: Eukaryota; Viridiplantae; Streptophyta; Magnoliopsida; Malpighiales; Euphorbiaceae.
UAAUUCCAAUAUUAGCACUAAUAAUUUCUCCAUAAAAUAGUGUCUUCAAGAAAUAUCAUGAAGAAUUUUCCAAGGUUUUAAUUCCAUUUUCUUCAGAAGAAAACCAAAUCCAUUGACAACAAUGAACCCAAAAGCACAUCCUUUCUUUUUACCAAAGUUCUUGGGGAAUUCCAAAUGCUAAAUUAGACAAAAACUGAACAUGAUAAAACGUUGCAGAAAGAAAAAAAAAUCCCUACUAAAACAUAUGGCCAUUGAUUAGUACUUAC